Long non-coding RNA from Symphalangus syndactylus (siamang), 1421 nucleotides. RefSeq lists it as uncharacterized. The record is from RefSeq and is a predicted model, not a curated record. NCBI's taxonomy places the organism in Eukaryota, Metazoa, Chordata, Mammalia, Primates, Hylobatidae.
GCAAGCUCCGCCUCCCAGGUUCACGCCAUUCUCCUGCCUCAGCCUCUCCGAGUAGCUGGGACUACAGGCGCCCGCCACCAUGCCCGGCUAAUUUUUUUUUGUAUUUUUAGUAGAGACGGGGUUUCACCGUGGUCUCGAUCUUCUGACCUCGUGAUCCGCCCGCCUUGGCCUCCCAAAGUGCUGGGAUUACAAGCAUGAGCCACCGCGCCCGGCCUUAGAGAUUAAGUUUCAACAUGAAUUUUGAGACAAAAACAUUCCAACGAUUGCAAUGAAGAUACCACUGUGUAGUAUGGCUGGAGUGCAGUGGAACAUGAUCAUGGCUUACUGCAACCUCUGCAUCCUGGGUUCAAGCAAUCCUCCCACCUCAGCCCCAGAUUAGCCGGGGCUAUAGGCACUUGCCACCACACCUGGCUAAUUUAUAUAUAUAUUUUUUGUAGGGCUGGGGUCAAACUCCUGGGCCCAAGUGAUCCUCCUGCCUCUGCCUCCCAAAGCACUGAGAUUACAGGUGUGAGCCAUCACAUGUGGCCAAAAACAUCCUUUAUCUUCUCCAAUUGGGCUGCUUACCCCCUAGGCUUACUACACAUUUUUUAUUCUGGAAAUGUAUUUCAGCUGGCUAUACACUUCAUUGUUCUCCAGUAUUGGAUCCCUUGUUUUCUGGAUGCCAUGUUUACCUCUUCAGUUUAAUUCCCUUUUUCGCAUGGAGCCAUCUUCCCAUAGUUUCUCCAGAGAACAAAAAUGGGGAAAUUUGAGACCUUCCAUGUCUGACUCUGUUCUCAUGUGAUAAUUUAGAUAAAACAAUAACAUUCUUUAAAUUACUUUCCAUAUCCAUCUAUUUGUUUAAAACUACAUUUCCAUUCAGAGACUUUAGGAAGAGUAAGAAUCUAAUGGCAUUGGCAGAAUUGAGAACAUCCUUCUAGCAAGGGGAUUCCAGUGGAAGUUGGGAGAGGUUCCCCCAUCUUUUGGCUUUAUAAUAACACAUGUCUUCUCAAUUAUCAUGGAUAUCCCCUACCAUAGGGCCUGUGUUUGAAGUGUCAUCUUGAGUGAGUCCUAGUGCUGUGCCACUUGCUUCUACUUCUGCCAAGGAGCAGAGAAUACUGGACUUUUUUCCAUAUUGAAAUGAUAGAUACUGUAUUAGUCUUUAAGUUUGAAAACUAUGUAUUUUGAGUAUUUUCAAAAAGGUUAGUGUGUGAUACGUCUUUUUUUAAAACUUCUCUGUGUUUGAAACUUCCAGAGAUUUCUUUAAAGUAUAGAGAGUAGACUGAUACAGAGGUCUCUCUCUACUUGUUUUUUUGCAAUAUGCCCCAAGUACAAUAUUUUUUCAAAAUUUCACAGAUAUUGUUAUAUGAAUGAAUCUUUAGUUUGUUGAAUCUUUUGCCUUGUUUGAUAUUGACUAUAUUGACUCACAAUAAACAUGUAUUAAG